Molecule: ribosomal RNA, 510 nt
Filed under: Triticum aestivum (bread wheat)
Lineage: Eukaryota; Viridiplantae; Streptophyta; Magnoliopsida; Poales; Poaceae
Description: partial small subunit ribosomal RNA
Source: RNAcentral
AUGAAAAGAGGAGGAUGGUCUAACCCCCCAACGGGAUUUGUUAAACUUAACGUUGAUGCUUCUUUUGACCACGACCUUCUCAGGGGUACGAUCGGGGCUGUCUUAAGAGAUGACAAAGGUAGGUUCAUCAGUGGGGGAAAUGGUAAGAUUGACCGGUGUGCAGAUGUGUUGAUGGCUGAAGCUUUGGCGUUAAAAUUUGGCCUAUCGCUUGCGCAAAGGACGGGUUGUAAUCGCAUAAUUAUUAACUCGGAUAAUAUGAAGGUGAUCGAGACCAUGAACGAAGGAGGACGAUCGUCGGGGGCAGCUGCUGCAAUUUUUGAUGACUGUUUUCACUUAGCUUGCAAUUUUCCUAUUUCUAGAUUCGAGCAUUGUAAUAGAGAAGCAAAUAAAGUUGCUCAUGAACUUGCCAAGUUGGCUAGAUUUUCUUUCAUUUCUGAUUGGUUUGAGGAACCACAUAAUGCAAUUGUACCAAUCCUCAUAAACGAUGUAAUGAUUAUUUCUAAUGAAUAA